This 111-nucleotide ribosomal RNA is filed under the name Shewanella putrefaciens. Lineage: Bacteria; Pseudomonadati; Pseudomonadota; Gammaproteobacteria; Alteromonadales; Shewanellaceae. The record is from RNAcentral.
CCAUUGCCCCUUAAGCAAGAUGAAGUGCGGAUCCACGGCCAUUCCUUUGAAGUGCGUAUUUAUGCCGAAGAUCCACAGAAUGAGUUUUUACCCGCCAGCGGUAAGCUCAAC